GGGGGGGGGGGGCGGGGGGCGGGGGAGGGGCAGGGCGGGGGGGGGCGGCGGGGGAGCUUGCUUCCCCGGGCGUCGACCGGCGCACGGGGGAGUAACGCGUAUCCAACCUGCCUCUGACUGAGGGAUAACCCGUCGAAAGUCGGCCUAAUACCUCAUGGUAUCGUCUGCGGGCAUCCAACGACGAUUAAAGAUUUCAUCGGUCAGGGAUGGGGAUGCGUCUGAUUAGCUUGUUGGCGGGGUAACGGCCCACCAAGGCUACGAUCAGUAGGGGUUCUGAGAGGAAGGUCCCCCACAUUGGAACUGAGACACGGUCCAAACUCCUACGGGAGGCAGCAGUGAGGAAUAUUGGUCAAUGGGCGAGAGCCUGAACCAGCCAAGUAGCGUGCAGGAAGACGGCCCUAUGGGUUGUAAACUGCUUUUAUGCGGGGAUAAAGUGAGGGACGUGUCCCUCAUUGCAGGUACCGCAUGAAUAAGGACCGGCUAAUUCCGUG
RNAcentral lists this ribosomal RNA (491 nucleotides) under uncultured bacterium. RNAcentral's name for it is "partial 16S ribosomal RNA". It matches the Rfam family "Bacterial small subunit ribosomal RNA", at positions 26 to 507 of the family's 1533-position model. The record is from RNAcentral.